CUUGCACUUACUACUUGUUUUGAGUUUUGUACCUUUAAGGUUAAAAGCACUUAAUUGGAAGUCGCUUUGGAUAAAAGCGUCAGCUAAAUGACCUCUUAUGUAAUAUAAUGACAUUUAAUUGUGA
This is a long non-coding RNA of Etheostoma cragini (Arkansas darter), 124 nucleotides long. RefSeq lists it as uncharacterized. The record is from RefSeq and is a predicted model, not a curated record. The transcript has 3 exons. Lineage: Eukaryota; Metazoa; Chordata; Actinopteri; Perciformes; Percidae.